RNAcentral lists this ribosomal RNA (497 nucleotides) under uncultured bacterium. Its description in RNAcentral is "partial 16S ribosomal RNA". It matches the Rfam family "Bacterial small subunit ribosomal RNA", at positions 28 to 507 of the family's 1533-position model. The record is from RNAcentral.
GAUGAACGCUGGCGGCGUGCCUAAUACAUGCAAGUCGAGCGAACGGACGAGAAGCUUGCUUCUCUGAUGUUAGCGGCGGACGGGUGAGUAACACGUGGAUAACCUACCUAUAAGACUGGGAUAACUUCGGGAAACCGGAGCUAAUACCGGAUAAUAUUUUGAACCGCAUGGUUCAAAAGUGAAAGACGGUCUUGCUGUCACUUAUAGAUGGAUCCGCGCUGCAUUAGCUAGUUGGUAAGGUAACGGCUUACCAAGGCAACGAUGCAUAGCCGACCUGAGAGGGUGAUCGGCCACGCUGGAACUGAGACCCGGUCCAGACUCCUACGGGAGGCAGCAGUAGGGAAUCUUCCGCAAUGGGCGAAAGCCUGACGGAGCAACGCCGCGUGAGUGAUGAAGGUCUUCGGAUCGUAAAACUCUGUUAUUAGGGAAGAACAUAUGUGUAAGUAACUGUGCACAUCUUGACGGUACCUAAUCAGAAAGCCACGGCUAACUACGUG